Molecule: ribosomal RNA, 445 nt
Filed under: uncultured bacterium
Lineage: Bacteria
Description: partial 16S ribosomal RNA
Rfam family: Bacterial small subunit ribosomal RNA
Source: RNAcentral
GUGAGGAAUAUUGCGCAAUGGAGGCAACUCUGACGCAGCCAUGCCGCGUGCAGGAAGAAGGCGCUACGCGUUGUAAACUGCUUUUAACCGGGAAGAAACCCCAGGACGUGUCCUGGGUUGACGGUACCGGAGGAAUAAGCACCGCCUAACUUCGUGCCAGCAGCCGCGGUAAUACGAAGGGUGCAAGCGUUAUCCGGAUUCAUUGGGUUUAAAGGGUGCGUAGGCGGAGCGUUAAGUCAGUGGUGAAAUCCUGCAGCUUAACUGUAGACUUGCCAUUGAUACUGGCGCUCUUGAGUGCGCUUGAAGUGGGCGGAAUGUGCCGUGUAGCGGUGAAAUGCUUAGAUAUGGCACAGAACACCAAUUGCGAAGGCAGCUCACUAAGGCGAUACUGACGCUGAGGCACGAAAGCGUGGGGAUCGAACAGGAUUAGAUACCCUAGUAGUCC